RNAcentral lists this ribosomal RNA (484 nucleotides) under uncultured bacterium. RNAcentral's name for it is "partial 16S ribosomal RNA". It matches the Rfam family "Bacterial small subunit ribosomal RNA", at positions 29 to 507 of the family's 1533-position model. The record is from RNAcentral.
AUUGAACGCUGGCGGCAUGCUUUACACAUGCAAGUCGAACGGCAGCGCGGGCUUUGGCCUGGCGGCGAGUGGCGAACGGGUGAGUAAUACAUCGGAACGUGCCCAGUAGUGGGGGAUAGCUCGGCGAAAGCCGGAUUAAUACCGCAUACGACCUGAGGGUGAAAGCGGGGGAUCUUCGGACCUCGCGCUAUUGGAGCGGCCGAUGGCGGAUUAGCUAGUUGGUGGGGUAAAGGCCUACCAAGGCGACGAUCUGUAGCUGGUCUGAGAGGACGACCAGCCACACUGGGACUGAGACACGGCCCAGACUCCUACGGGAGGCAGCAGUGGGGAAUUUUGGACAAUGGGCGAAAGCCUGAUCCAGCAAUGCCGCGUGUGUGAUGAAGGCCUUCGGGUUGUAAAGCACUUUUGGCGGGAACGAAAAGGACUGUGCCAAUACCACGGUUCGAUGACGGUACCCGCAGAAUAAGCACCGGCUAACUACGUG